GCUUACGGCCAUUCCACCCUGAACACGCCUGAUCUCAUAAGCUAAGCAGGUUCGGGCCUUGUUAGUACUUAGAUGGGAGACCACCUGGGAAUACCAGUUGCUGUAACCU
Molecule: ribosomal RNA, 109 nt
Filed under: Mola mola (ocean sunfish)
Lineage: Eukaryota; Metazoa; Chordata; Actinopteri; Tetraodontiformes; Molidae
Source: RNAcentral